This 432-nucleotide ribosomal RNA is filed under the name uncultured bacterium. RNAcentral describes it as "partial 16S ribosomal RNA". It matches the Rfam family "Bacterial small subunit ribosomal RNA", at positions 338 to 795 of the family's 1533-position model. The record is from RNAcentral.
CCUACGGGAGGCAGCAGUUAGGAAUCUUGGGCAAUGGGGGAAACCCUGACCCAGCCAUGCCGCGUGGAUGAUGAAGGUCUUAGGAUUGUAAAAUCCUUUCACCGGGGAUGCAGUACCCGGAGAAGAAGCCCCGGCUAACUUCGUGCCAGCAGCCGCGGUAAUACGAAGGGGGCUAGCGUUGCUCGGAAUUACUGGGCGUAAAGGGAGCGUAGGCGGAUAGUUUAGUCAGAGGUGAAAGCCCAGGGCUUAACCUUGGAACUGCCUUUGAUACUGGCUAUCUUGAGUACGGGAGAGGUGAGUGGAACUCCGAGUGUAGAGGUGAAAUUCGUAGAUAUUCGGAAGAACACCAGUGGCGAAGGCGACUCACUGGCCCGUACUGACGCUGAGGCUCGAAAGCGUGGGGAGCAAACAGGAUUAGAUACCCUUGUAGUC